RNAcentral lists this small RNA (100 nucleotides) under bovine gut metagenome. Its description in RNAcentral is "RT-5 RNA". It matches the Rfam family "RT-5 RNA". Rfam says of the family: Clostridium (Firmicutes). Environment (Cow rumen (57)) The record is from RNAcentral.
GCGCCUGCGAAGGAGGCAGCCUUGACCUUUAUUUCUCGGUUUUGCAGGCAACCGGCCAAGGUAUCCUCUCGUCGAUUCGCAAUUAUGCGAAUUCAAAACU